GAUGAACGCUGGCGGCGUGCCUAAUACAUGCAAGUCGAACGCUUUGUGGUUCAACUGAUUUGAAGAGCUUGCUCUGAUCUGACGCUGAACAUUGCAAAGAGUGGCGAACGGGUGAGUAACACGUGGGAAACCUACCUCUUAGCGGGGGAUAACAUCUGGAAACAGAUGCUAAAACCGCAUAACACUAGCAACCGCAUGGUUGCUACUUGAAAGAUGGUUCUGCUAUCACUAAGAGAUGGUCCCGCGGCGCAUUAGUUAGUUGGUGAGGUAAUGGCUCACCAAGACGAUGAUGCGUAGCCGAGUUGAGAGACUGAUCGGCCACAAUGGGACUGAGACACGGCCCAUACUCCUACGGGAGGCAGCAGUAGGGAAUCUUCCACAAUGGACGAAAGUCUGAUGGAGCAACGCCGCGUGUGUGAUGAAGGGUUUCGGCUCGUAAAACACUGUUGUAAGAGAAGAAUAGCAUCAAGAGUAACUGCUUGGUGUCUGACG
RNAcentral lists this ribosomal RNA (492 nucleotides) under uncultured Weissella sp. RNAcentral's name for it is "bacterial SSU rRNA". It matches the Rfam family "Bacterial small subunit ribosomal RNA", at positions 28 to 474 of the family's 1533-position model. Lineage: Bacteria; Bacillati; Bacillota; Bacilli; Lactobacillales; Lactobacillaceae. The record is from RNAcentral.